This 63-nucleotide transfer RNA is filed under the name Aphaena discolor nigrotibiata. RNAcentral describes it as "tRNA-Pro". The record is from RNAcentral. Lineage: Eukaryota; Metazoa; Arthropoda; Insecta; Hemiptera; Fulgoridae.
CAGUAAGUAUUUUAAUAAUAAAAUAUUAGUUUUGGAUACUAAAGAUGAUUUUUUCCUUACUGA